Molecule: long non-coding RNA, 1179 nt
Organism: Ictalurus punctatus (channel catfish)
Lineage: Eukaryota; Metazoa; Chordata; Actinopteri; Siluriformes; Ictaluridae
Source: Ensembl
AUCUACAGCUGCUCUGGUGUUUUUCAGUUUCAAUUAAUUUAAUGGGAGCCUUUUCUUAUUUUUAUGAACUUUUGCUUCCAGAUCAGCAAUUGUAUAAUGCUUUAUCAGAGCAUUAAAACUUCUGUUCUGUUCGAGUCCAUGAACAUAUUUGAAAACAUCUAUGCAUAUAAUCACUGUAGAAGAAACCAGUGCUUUGUUCUUUGAGCUCAGUCUGAUUUCCUCUUGCUGGAUUUUAUAGGUGCGUAACACCAGGCAGUUUCACACUCUUCAUAUGACAUACUCAAGAACUGAAGAUGAAUAUCCAGCAGCUCCUCCUGGGGAAAUCUCAUUUGGCAUAGCUCUCCAACAUUCCCUUUCAGGAGGGAAUUUCACCAUUUACCUUUCAGGAGCAGGGGCAUGCAUUUUCUGCAGCUGUGCUUGAUUUAUCUCUAAAAAGCAGGAACAAUCAGAGGUCGACUUACUCCUAUACUUUGGCUCAUUGUCUUGCUGCAUAAUGCAGUUGUGCUUGAGUUUCAACUUGCGGACUGAAGACCGGAUAUUCUCCUUUAGGAUUUUCUGGUAGAGAGCAGAAUUCAUGUUUCCCUCAAUUAUUGCAAGUUGCCCAGGCCCUGAAGCAGUAAAGCAUCCCCACACCAUCAAACUUCCUCCACCAUGCUUGACUGUGUGUGUAAUCAAAUGUCGGGUGACCAUGAACGUGAUAGUGAGUGUGUAUGCUGGGAGCUGGAGUCCAAGGUGGCCAUGUUUGCAGUCUGUGAUCUGUGUUUGGAAAUGGAGUUCGGGGCAGCCAUGUUUGUAGGCAGCAGAGCCACCUGGGAGUUGGAGUCCCUCACUAAUUCUGGAGUAUACUUGACAGCGAGAUUGCUGGUGAGAUUUUAUUUACAGGCAAAAUGCGGCUUGGUUGCUUUUCAUUUAAUGUGGCUUAGCUUUUGAAAUACACACUGACAAACCUCAGCCCCACUGCAGACACCCUAUAAACCACACUGCCAGCUGCCACAAGCAUAAAACGAUGUCUGCUUUUAUGCUUGGCUUUAUUCACAGCCUACAGCCCAUACAGUGCCACUGGAUGAAAGAAUGACAUUUACUUCUUGAGGACAGGAAAUGUAGCUCACAAGCUAGCAGUUAAGGAAUUAAUCUGUAACUACUCUUUAUGCAAUAAUUAUGCAAUUACAUGGAAAGCCU